UACUUGCUGCUUAUUUUCAUUUAAUAGAAGAUAAGUAUGUUAAUUUCCUGCUAAAAUCUAUAGAUGUGGUGGCCAUUGACUGGUAGCAUUUGCCAAAGUUAUCACAAGUGGAAGGAAUAGCAUACUCUACAAAGUUUCAAAAUGAGUAGCUCAUACACACAUGCCUGUGAAGGGACCUGAACAGUGACUUGCAGGAUAUAACGGCUAGUGUGGGAUGUCAUCAGUUUGUAUUCUUUGUAACUGAAUAAUCAUACUUUUCAAUUAAAUGUAUAUUUUACCUUGAUGUCAGUUAUCUAAUUUUUAUCAUUUUAGUAUGGGAGAACACACCCAACUACUGUGGUAAGCACGAGUGAAUGGCAGGGUAAUCUGAACACUGUGCUCACAGACUAAUCACAUUAUAACAGGGCAUUUAUUUAAAUAAAUUUCUUGUUUGAGUUAAUAAUAUUUCAUCACUAUGAAAGAAAACAGUGUAAAUCCAUAAGAUAAGGCAAUUUCAAAUGUACUAGUAAGAGGGAAUCUUAGUAAAUGUGGUUGCGUUCUUGCACUGUUUUAAUUACCUUUUUGUCAGUCUGUUUUCUUCCAAGACUGAUUUGUCCACUGCGCACAUUUCAAAUACCAUGUAUAAAACAUUAAGCUAAAUACUGAGAGAAGUGGAAGAUACAAGAAUCAAUGACAGCUCAUGCCUUCAAGCUCAGGGUAGAAGUCAUUUUAGAAGCUGAAUUGUCAGUUGAAGACAGAAGGUUCUGUGUGUUUGGAGCACACAGGCAGCCUGUUAGAGAGUGGUAGGGCUGGAAGUCAUGCUGCAAAGAGCUAAAUAUUUAAGAGUGAUAAAUAAACACUGUCCCUGGUACACUUGGGAUAAAGCCCGAAGUCCUCUCUCCACCAUGUGAGAUGGCUGGCCUGACUCUCCUUCGGUCUUCUCUUGACACAUUGCCCUUUUUUCUGGUCCUCCAAGUCACCAUGUUCUCUCCUGUCGAGGACUUUCACACAUCUAGUUCCCUUUACCUGGAUGCUACUUCUCUUGUUCUUUGCCUCGCCAAUUUCCUAUGCAACCUUUCCAAGACACCCUGCCAUUGCUGCUGUAUAAGAACAACCCCCCCCACACACCUGAACACCACUCAUACAAAAAGAGAAGAGCCCCCCGCCGAGGUUGUGCAGGAUGACAGCCCAACCUGAAUUAGGUCCCCCUGUUGAAACUGUUGAAGCCUCAGGUGUUUUUCUUUUGUGACAGUUGUUUUGAAUUCAUAAGUGUAUCGGCUUAUCUGUGUAAUGCAAUCAUAAACUCCCUGAGGGAGGGGCCUUGCCAGUUUGUGUCCCCAGGCUCUGGUACAUAGUCACUUUUCAGGAAGUGUUUUCAAGCGAAUGAACAAAUGUAGAUCACUCCUCAAAUCUGGUGGUUCGGCAGGAAAGAAAAAGAAGGGUGUUAGCUGAAAUCGGUGAUGUGUUCACGGGAAUGGAUCACGGGUCAGUCUCAGGACCGGGAAACUGGAAUAUUUCCGUAGGCAAAAGGAAAGGAACCAUUUGAGGAGUAACUGAAGAUGUAAAAGGACGAGGGAAUCAUUUGUGGAUUACAGUUCUACAGGAGUUAUGUGAUGGAAGGGUUAGCCUUAGAAAGAAGAGGAUGCCUGUGUACCCUGAGACAGAAGAGAGAGAAGGGUUUGGAAAUAAUAAUCUAGUAGUGAGGACUCAAGUAAAAUCUAAUCAAGUAAAAGCUGGGAUCUAUAACAUACGUGAUAAAGGAGGGAGCAUUGACUCCUUACAAAUAAGACCAGCUUGCAGUUUCCCUUGGUUAAGAUUUGAAUACUUCAAAAUGUAAAACUUACAGACUCAUAUUAUGAACAUCAGUGGGAAGUGAACUUCAAAGCUUAUUGAUUUUGUUAAUAUUUUCAGUUGAGGCAAACUGUAACCUAAACCUAUAUAUGACUCAAAACAUUUCUUUUCUCCUUUUUCUAAAUACUUAAGUGUAAAUUAUAACUUACUACUUUAAAGCAUGAUGCUGAGAGCUGUAAACUUCAGUCAAACCGUUUAACUGUGUACCAGUUCUCUAGAUGUUAAAUUUAGUUGAGCUUCACAUGAAAAAUUAAGGAAGAUAAGCUAACUCAGACACGUGUUUAUGACCCUUAAUUUAAGAUAAACAUAGAGCUUAAACUGAAUCAGGUGCAUACAUUUCAGUGUUUUUUUGGCAAUGUACCCUAUUCCCACACAGUUAAAGAAUUUCAUUAGUAUACAUAGAUAUAGCAGAGUAAUGCAAAACAUUAAACAAUGUUAGUGUAGAUGCAAGUGACAAUUUAUGUAUUCUAUUUAAUUUAAUGAAUGUAUAAGAAUGGUAUAAAAAUCAUAAAAAAUCAUAAGAUAUUUGUCUUUAUUACACUACAGUUAGGGCCAACUCUUUAAAUGUAACAUUGGCAGGAGAAUUUCUGAAUUUUAAAUUAUGGCUUCAGUUGAAUGAAGUACUCUUACGUAAGUGAUUUCGAAGGUACUUGGCAGAUUAAAUCUUACAAAAUGGUCUGAGACAUUUCGAUUUGGGGUUGAAAACACCAGUGCUCUCCAAAUGAAGGAGAAUUAAUUUUCAAGAUUAAUGUAGGAUUUUGAAAACACUGGCUUUACACUAAAAGAGACUAACUGGUGAGUGGUGUUCACUUGCAGCAUGAGAGUGGGGCUUCUCAGUGGGUUUUGUUUCCAGUCCUGCAGUCUCAUUCAGUUGUCAUACACACACUGCCCUCCUCCUCUCACGGAAGCAGCGCAAUCCUUCUUUUCUGUCCCCUUCACAUCAUAGCCCAGACCUGAGACAGAAAGUUAGGAAUUAAAGGCUAGGGCCGCCCUCAGCUGAGGUUCAGAACCAUCUUUCAUAGUCAGCAUGUGGCUUCCGAUGCUUAGAAACAUUCAGUAUUUGCCGAAUGAGUUAACUCUUACUUUGUACAACAGGUUAAUUUCCACGUGCUCUAGCAUUACUGUUGGAACCAGGAGUUCUAAAUACACACUUUUCUUUCUUGGUUUAUGUGUGCAAAGAAGAGCUAAGUUGCUUUCUAACAUCAUUAGCUUCGUUAAUUAGACUGUUACAUUUAACGUUGUAAAAAAAAAAAUAAACGUUUCAUAAUCUCAGGAGAUAAAUAAAAUACAGCUCUAGCGUUGUAGAACCGCCUUGGGAUUAAACUGUCAUUGUUUCUAUACCCAGCGGCCAGCGGGUAAGGAGAGCGCCCCUUCAUUCUGAGCAGGACUGUGGUGCUCUGGGUGGGAUCGUGUACGUUUUCAUUCUUUUGUGAUUAAAAAUGGCGUCUAAGAUUUUACUUUCAGUAUCAUGUUAGAGAUUUCAUUCCAUGACCAUUUGUUCAUUCACAUGUAUUUUUAUUUUUAGCUCUAAGGAAAGACAUGAGGCCUAAGACUGAGAUGAGGUGGUUUUGAGGCCAUCUGAUUUCUGGCUAGAAGGUGUGCGGUCGCCUGGUCCUGAAACCCCUGCAGACAGAAUGGUUUGCAAUUUUUUUUGGUGAUGGCAUGUUCAGAAUCUUGGAUCCCUAAGUUGAAUAUAUUGGAAAUAUUUAGGAACUCUGGAAAUUGUUGUUUUUGUAUAUAUAAUGACUUACUAGGUGAAUCAAUAGAUAUAAUAAAACAUAUAAAAUAGUAGGCAUUAUAAUUUUGUAUUUCUAAGUUGGCAUGCGUGUCUCAAAUUCUCAGCUGUUGGUAUUAGUGUCACGCCCUGCAGAUGGGUAUGUUUUGAAAAUUUAGGGGCUUUUAUGGACCUCAUAUUCCCUGAGGCUGUUUCUGUCAUUCCUCCCAUGCUGACUGGCCAGCUUCUUCUCCUUUCUGUCUGUGUUGUAGUGUAGUUUACUUAGAUCAGAGGUAAUUCUUGAUCAGGAGGAGAGAAGAUAAAAUAUUCAUCAUGUGACAAUCCUAAAGGUAAUAAUUACAGAACUUCAAGCUGGAAAUGGCCCCAGCGUGGUCUGUAUUAGAAUAUGCAAAUUCUCCCCAAAUUAUGUCCAGAUACACUAUGGCAAAAUGCCAGUUUUCGAAUCAGAGGUUAUUGUACAGAACAGACGUGCUAAUGGGGAGGGAAGGGAGCUGUUCAGUUCCACCUCCUCCUCUCUCCCUGUUGUUGGGUGAAUGAAUCAGGAAAGUAAAGUGGCCGAGAGGCCGAUGGUGUGAAUGGAAAGGAGAAGGAACAAAAUUUGACUUUCUAGGGAGUAUUUCCCCUUAGAAAAUUGAAAGUUGCCUAUAUUAUAUUCCAUGUACACUAUUUUAAAACUGUAGGCUCCUUUCAUGUAGACCCAGAAUGUGCACUAGGGCAGCCUCGCCCAGAGGACGGGAUGGAGAGACCUGCACUUGACAGGAGAAUCAGGCAGUCCGUGGUGCCUGGAGCGCCGUUACCAGUGGUUGUCUUCUUCUCUGACCUGUUCCUGCUGGGACUGAGAGACUAGAGAAGUGUUCUAGGAUGCAUAGUUAUUUCGAUGGUCAAAUAUGAUUGCCUCCCUGUUCUUUUGACCGAAACUGGAGAAAGGUUUGAUUUUUUAAGACUGUAUUCAGAGCAGCUUGAAAAAGGAUCAAAGGGAAAGGAUGAGGAGAAUUCAGGGAACUGUAGAGACUGAGUGGUAGCUAAGCAGAAUGUUAAUUCUUUGUUUAUUGCAAAUUUUAUUAUUGGUAGAUUGUCCAGUAAUACAGAAAUUGGUAUAGAACAGAAGUUUUCAUAACGUUUCUGUUGGAAGGCUUUUAGAAGCUAAGUAGUCUACACUGUAACCACGUGCUCCUCACCUUUGCUUUGCUUGGUUUAAGAGGAAUUGGCUGAUACAUAAUUUAAUAAAUGGCACAAUGAAGACAUCAGUUUUUAAAAAUCAAAUUACAUUUUAAUCUAAAUAUGUGUUGCCUGUUUAGCUGCUUUCCCAUUUCAACUGGCUUAAAAAAAAAACAACUCUCCUUCUGGGAUGCUUUUGUCAAUAGAGACGUUUCCUCUUAGCCAAUUCUAGCCACAGUAUUGACUGGGCCUAGGCAUUUGAUACACCUUGAAGGAAUUAGGCAGGAAAAAACUGGUCCCUCCUGGAAUGAAUAUUUUAAAGACCUUCUUAGAUUCUGACACUGUGAGUACACAUGAAGGAGACCCAAGAGAGAGGGAAAUUUAAGCGCCUAAGAACAAAAAUGAUGGUAGGAUUGGGGGUGUGGUAAACGCUCAUAUAACUUACCUAAGGUGCACUGAGGGCAAGGAAUUGACUUCCUAGAGAUCAGAGGUAGAGUGUGAACUCCCCUGGGCAGGAGGCCUUCUGAUGUUAAUUCAGCCAGCUCACACUGGCAUGCUGCAGUGUUCUUCAGGAUAGUGGCAGGUGAUCAGGAAAAUAUCAAUACAUUCCCUAAAAAUGAGUUCGAUUUUUAUUCUGGUAUGUUAUAUAUGGGCAUGUGGCUCACUUAUUAAAAAUAAGAAUCUUAAAUAUUAGUGAAAUAUUGCAAAAAUGAGUCUCUUGUCCCUGUUGUAUAACUUUAGAAAAUAAUGUAGACUACUGACAUAGUAGAGAAUUGAUGGCAUGAAUAUAAUCAAUAUUUGAUGGUUGCUUUCUAGAAACUUCUAAAUAAAACCUUGAGUUUGUUUAACAUUGGCCUCAGUUGUCCUACAGCAGCACUUCUAGUGUGUGUGUCUCACGGGAGAAUCUGCACCUUCUUGGACCACUGCACGUCACAGCCUUGCACAUCACUCUGAGGAUUCAGAAACUGAGCCCGUUACCCAGGGAUGGUUAGCUCUUUGAGCACAGUGGGUAAAUGAGGCCGCACAGAGAAAGUGAGCCUCUGACGAUGGCUCUUUGCAUUUGGAAGUUUAGACCCUUUCGGAAGACCAGAAGAAAGCUGUGGAUCCUUCCCCCAGCUUGGCUUCAGUUUCUGAGGGUAGAGGGGCGGCCCUUGGUUGUCCGGUCAGGAAGCCCUGAUCUAAAAGAUCGUCUUUAUUUUCCUUGGCCUGGCUGCAGCUUUGCUGUGACUCUUCAGGAGUGGUUCUCUAUCAGCUGUGAAUGGAAGGAUCUUAAGGACACUUACUGCCUUACACGCUGGGCUGAAGCCACAAGUCCCGAGUCUGUGAUGUCAUGGAGCCAGAGCUGCAGGGGGCUGGCUGCCCCAAAGGUGCCAACGGUAAAAACAGGGCCCGAGGCAUUGAAGUGUGGGACAGCCCUCCUAGGUAGGCCCUUCCUCCUGCUGGUGUAGGGGCAUUUAUUUCACAGUAGAUUGAAUAUUAAUGUUUUCUUGUUUUUUAAAAAAUGAGCAUAUAUCUUCUAAAUUUUGAAAUUACUAUAAAGGUUUUCUACCUAAGUGGUGACCCUCUUCUCAUGCUUUAGGAUAUCAAAUUCAUGAUGUGAAAUGUGUACUUCAAAUUAACAUAGUGACUGGAAAUUUGAAAUUCUGUUAUUUUGUGACCCUAAAAUUUGUAGCAGAUUUUCAGGAAAAUUGUCAAGAUUCCCAGAUACUUUGUCCUUUAUUCCUUUCAAGUUUCCUAAGUGUAUGAUUAUUUCUGAAUUUUAUUAAUCCAUUUAUAACUCUGGAGGAAACUGCCUUCAGUUCCUGUUUUGACACAAAAGGGAUGCUUUAUCUGACUAGAAAUGUGUUUUGACAAAAAAAUUCCACUUGAGUGGCUCUAACCUCCAUUUUGGAAUCUCAGAUCAACAGCUUAUGUCAUUCAUUGGGACUUUUCUGCAAAAUAACAGCUUCACUGAGGUCAUCCUUGAAAAAUGAAGAAAUCCGAAGAUAAUUUUGGGACGGAGUAGAGGGACGGAGGAGCGUCCUCAGACUGCAGCGCCGCACACGCCGGCUUCUCUGCUCGUGUACACGCAACACCAUUUGAAUGUCUGUUAUCAAUUGGACCUGUAGACAGAUACAGUGUAUCUUGAACGUGAGAAAAACACAAGUCCAGCUUCUCAGACUUUUGCGGAAAUACAGUCUCCUCUUGAUUGCCCACGCUGGCGGGGGGAGCUUGGUCCCUCCGCCUGACUGAAAUCAGACGUGUUUUCUGGAUUCGAAGGAGUUUUUGUAUUCCUUGUGGAACAGAGUGGGCUUUUACAUCGCCUGCCCUGCAGGGAGGAGCCUGAGUUCAUCCGGGCCCAGCUGCGUGUUCUCGGUCCUUCUCUCUUUUCUGUAAUGUUGCCCUAAAUGUGGGGAAAACAUUAAGCAUGUAGGAUUCCAGAAUUGAUCAGAAUCCUGUUAAGUAUGUCCCUCUUACCCUUCCCGGGCAAUUUGAUUCCAUUUGUGUUUCAACCUCUUCUAAAUGUUGCCCACGAUUAACCCCUUUGGUCUGAGGUCAGGAUAGAAUUAGAACCACUGUCCAGGCUGCUUCCCUCCUGUCGCGUUCUGUUCUGCCUGCGACAGGCGGUUUCAGUUGCCUCAUGAUGGAGGAGUCUGCUCAUCCUUGCAUUCCCGCCUCCCUCCCUGCAGGCUCUUGUGGGGAAAUAGAAUAGAUCUAGAUUUAGCAGUCCUGGCUGUCUCAAGAUUUGCCUAUAAAAGUUGGCGGCAUUGCGUUUAAAAUACAGCCUUUCAGCUGCGGUGUUGACAGGUGUCUCCAGCGGACGUCUGCUCUGUGCUGGGCCCUUGGCUGCAUGUGGCCAUUCGCUCUUUCCCUCCACCACCCAGUUCUCUUGAGGCCAGGAGUGCACCAUCACGCCUCGGGCACAGGGGCGCCUGGAGCUGGCUUCUGUGCCAGCUCGCUGUUCCCUGGAGCCGAGGGCUCAUCAGAUAGUUGAAGAGAGCCAUGUCUCCCCCAGGUGCUAGUAAAACAGAUCACAUGCAGAGAAAAUGAUUAUGUCAGUAAGAUUUUGAAAGCAAGAUUUGUCCAAAAAAAAAAAAAACCACCCAAUUUUAGAUUUACCCUCAUGAACCCACACUGACUGUAUCUUACUUUAAAAAAUACAUAAACUAACAUAACUCUCAAAACAUUACCCAGUUACUCUGACGUUUUCAAAAUGUGGUAUUUUCUCUAAGCAUUUUUUACACGUAGAUUGCAGAAGCGCGUGUAAAUGUGUUUUGUGUAAGAGUAUAUAUACUGUAUAAAAUAUUCUGACUCUUGCUCUAAUAAAAUUAAACUGAAGUGGUCUCGUUAUUUAAAGCCUAGUAGUUUGAAAUUAUUUUUUGAGUAAAAUUUUACAGCAUAUGAUACUAUUUUUUACUUUCAUGGAAUGUACAAAUAUUCUUAGAAGUUACUCAUGUCUGUGUGUUUCCCACAUAUUCCACAUAAAAUAAAAAUAUUGUAAACAGGGUCCAUGUCUCCAGUGAAAGUCUCCAAACUUUUGGCUGUAAUUACCAAGUGCUUGAGCUGGGCUGGCUGGAAAUGCAUAUCGAGUUUUUCUAUGUAUGUAGCAAACUUUGUCCAAAUAAAGUAGCUUUGUACUCUGAAGGA
Molecule: non-coding RNA, 8350 nt
Organism: Vicugna pacos (alpaca)
Lineage: Eukaryota; Metazoa; Chordata; Mammalia; Artiodactyla; Camelidae
Source: RefSeq, a predicted model, not a curated record